RNAcentral lists this unclassified non-coding RNA (277 nucleotides) under Cylindrospermopsis raciborskii CHAB141. RNAcentral describes it as "partial contains 16S ribosomal RNA and 16S-23S ribosomal RNA intergenic spacer". The stretch from base 1 to 98 matches the Rfam family "Bacterial small subunit ribosomal RNA", at positions 1436 to 1533 of the family's 1533-position model. The record is from RNAcentral. RNAcentral also lists the same sequence under 3 other names. Lineage: Bacteria; Bacillati; Cyanobacteriota; Cyanophyceae; Nostocales; Aphanizomenonaceae.
UUCCACGUAAGGAGGGGGAGCCUAAGGUAGGACUGGUGACUGGGGUGAAGUCGUAACAAGGUAGCCGUACCGGAAGGUGUGGCUGGAUCACCUCCUUUUAGGGAGACCUACCCAUUGAAGAAUCGAAAGCCAUAGGCGAAUAGAGAAUCAACUGGUCUACUCUAGGUCGGUCGAGAAUUGGUCAAGUCUCUUUCAAAGUAUUAGACAUCUCCGGUGGAACCUAGCAACUAGGGAAGACCUAGACUGCUGGUGAAAAACCGCCAAAACCCUGGAAAAC